UGCCAGCCGCCGCGGUAAUACGAAGGUCCCAAGCGUUGUUCGGAAUCACUGGGCGUAAAGCGUGUGUAGGCUGCGCGGAAAGUCAAAUGUGAAAGCCCGGGGCUCAACCUCGGAACUGCAUUCGAUACUCCCGUGCUAGAGUAAUGGAGAGGUAGGUGGAAUUCAUAGUGUAGCGGUGGAAUGCGUAGAUAUUAUGAAGAAUACCAGUGGCGAAGGCGGCCUCCUGGAUCUGUACUGACACUGAGGUGCGAAAGCGUGGGUAGCGAACAGGAUUAGAUA
RNAcentral lists this ribosomal RNA (279 nucleotides) under uncultured bacterium. RNAcentral's name for it is "partial 16S ribosomal RNA". It matches the Rfam family "Bacterial small subunit ribosomal RNA", at positions 506 to 784 of the family's 1533-position model. The record is from RNAcentral.